CCUACGGGUGGCAGCAGUGAGGAAUUUUGGUCAAUGGACGAGAGUCUGAACCAGCAAAGUAGCGUGAAGGAUGACUGCCCUAUGGUUUGUAAACUUCGUUUAUAUGGGAAUAAAAUGAUCCUCGUGAGGGAUUUUGUAUGUACCAUAUGAAUAAGGAUAGGCUAACUCCGUGCCAGCAGCCGCGGUAAUACGGAGGAUCCGAGCGUUAUCCGGAUUUAUUGGGUUUAAAGGGAGCGUAGGUGGAUUGUUAAGUCAGUUGUGAAAGUUUGCGGCUCAACCGUAAAAUUGCAGUUGAAACUGGCAGUCUUGAGUACAGUAGAGGUGAGCGGAAUUCGUUGUGUAGCGGUGAAAUGCUUAGAUAUCACGAAGAACUCCAAUUGCGAAGGCAGCUCACUGGACUGCAACUGACACUGAGGCUCGAAAGUGUGGGUAUCAAACAGGAUUAGAUACCCUUGUAGUC
Molecule: ribosomal RNA, 460 nt
Filed under: uncultured bacterium
Lineage: Bacteria
Description: partial 16S ribosomal RNA
Rfam family: Bacterial small subunit ribosomal RNA
Source: RNAcentral